AAAUUGAAGAGUUUGAUCAUGGCUCAGAUUGAACGCUGGCGGCAGGCCUAACACAUGCAAGUCGAACGGUAACAGGAAGCAGCUUGCUGCUUCGCUGACGAGUGGCGGACGGGUGAGUAAUGUCUGGGAAACUGCCUGAUGGAGGGGGAUAACUACUGGAAACGGUGGCUAAUACCGCAUAACGUCGCAAGACCAAAGAGGGGGACCUUCGGGCCUCUUGCCAUCAGAUGUGCCCAGAUGGGAUUAGCUGGUUGGUGAGGUAACGGCUCACCAAGGCGACGAUCCCUAGCUGGUCUGAGAGGAUGACCAGCCACACUGGAACUGAGACACGGUCCAGACUCCUACGGGAGGCAGCAGUGGGGAAUAUUGCACAAUGGGCGCAAGCCUGAUGCAGCCAUGCCGCGUGUAUGAAGAAGGCCUUCGGGUUGUAAAGUACUUUCAGCGGGGAGGAAGGUGUUGUGGUUAAUAACCGCAGCAAUUGACGUUACCCGCAGAAGAAGCACCGGCUAACUCCGUGCCAGCAGCCGCGGUAAUACGGAGGGUGCAAGCGUUAAUCGGAAUUACUGGGCGUAAAGCGCACGCAGGCGGUCUGUCAAGUCGGAUGUGAAAUCCCCGGGCUCAACCUGGGAACUGCAUUCGAAACUGGCAGGCUUGAGUCUUGUAGAGGGGGGUAGAAUUCCAGGUGUAGCGGUGAAAUGCGUAGAGAUCUGGAGGAAUACCGGUGGCGAAGGCGGCCCCCUGGACAAAGACUGACGCUCAGGUGCGAAAGCGUGGGGAGCAAACAGGAUUAGAUACCCUGGUAGUCCACGCCGUAAACGAUGUCUACUUGGAGGUUGUGCCCUUGAGGCGUGGCUUCCGGAGCUAACGCGUUAAGUAGACCGCCUGGGGAGUACGGCCGCAAGGUUAAAACUCAAAUGAAUUGACGGGGGCCCGCACAAGCGGUGGAGCAUGUGGUUUAAUUCGAUGCAACGCGAAGAACCUUACCUGGUCUUGACAUCCACGGAAGUUUUCAGAGAUGAGAAUGUGCCUUCGGGAACCGUGAGACAGGUGCUGCAUGGCUGUCGUCAGCUCGUGUUGUGAAAUGUUGGGUUAAGUCCCGCAACGAGCGCAACCCUUAUCCUUUGUUGCCAGCGGUCCGGCCGGGAACUCAAAGGAGACUGCCAGUGAUAAACUGGAGGAAGGUGGGGAUGACGUCAAGUCAUCAUGGCCCUUACGACCAGGGCUACACACGUGCUACAAUGGCGCAUACAAAGAGAAGCGACCUCGCGAGAGCAAGCGGACCUCAUAAAGUGCGUCGUAGUCCGGAUUGGAGUCUGCAACUCGACUCCAUGAAGUCGGAAUCGCUAGUAAUCGUGGAUCAGAAUGCCACGGUGAAUACGUUCCCGGGCCUUGUACACACCGCCCGUCACACCAUGGGAGUGGGUUGCAAAAGAAGUAGGUAGCUUAACCUUCGGGAGGGCGCUUACCACUUUGUGAUUCAUGACUGGGGUGAAGUCGUAACAAGGUAACCGUAGGGGAACCUGCGGUUGGAUCACCUCCUUA
This 1542-nucleotide ribosomal RNA is filed under the name Salmonella enterica subsp. enterica serovar Agona. RNAcentral's name for it is "bacterial SSU rRNA". It matches the Rfam family "Bacterial small subunit ribosomal RNA". RNAcentral also lists the same sequence under 3 other names. Lineage: Bacteria; Pseudomonadati; Pseudomonadota; Gammaproteobacteria; Enterobacterales; Enterobacteriaceae. The record is from RNAcentral.